GAGUUUGAUCGUGGCUCAGGAUGAACGCUGGCGGCGUGCCUAAUACAUGCAAGUCGAGCGAACGGACGAGAAGCUUGCUUCUCUGAUGUUAGCGGCGGACGGGUGAGUAACACGUGGAUAACCUACCUAUAAGACUGGGAUAACUUCGGGAAACCGGAGCUAAUACCGGAUAAUAUUUUGAACCGCAUGGUUCAAAAGUGAAAGACGGUCUUGCUGUCACUUAUAGAUGGAUCCGCGCUGCAUUAGCUAGUUGGUAAGGUAACGGCUUACCAAGGCAACGAUGCAUAGCCGACCUGACGAGGGUGAUCGGCCACACUGGAACUGAGACACGGUCCAGACUCCUACGGGAGGCAGCAGUAGGGAAUCUUCCGCAAUGGGCGAAAGCCUGACGGAGCAACGCCGCGUGAGUGAUGAAGGUCUUCGGAUCGUAAAACUCUGUUAUUAGGGAAGAACAUAUGUGUAAGUAACUGUGCACAUC
This 478-nucleotide ribosomal RNA is filed under the name uncultured microorganism. RNAcentral describes it as "bacterial SSU rRNA". It matches the Rfam family "Bacterial small subunit ribosomal RNA", at positions 9 to 468 of the family's 1533-position model. The record is from RNAcentral.